This is a long non-coding RNA of Neofelis nebulosa (Clouded leopard), 2967 nucleotides long. RefSeq lists it as uncharacterized. The record is from RefSeq and is a predicted model, not a curated record. NCBI's taxonomy places the organism in Eukaryota, Metazoa, Chordata, Mammalia, Carnivora, Felidae. The transcript is spliced from 2 exons.
GAGAGAGAGAGAGACAGAGUGUGAGCAGGGGAGGGGCAGAGAAAUAAGGAGACACAGAAUCUGAAGCAGGCUCCAGGCUCCAAGCUGUCCGCACGAAGCCUGAUGCGGGGCUUAAACUCGUGAACCCUGAGAUCAUGACCUGAGGCAAAAUCUGACACUCAACUGACUGAGCCAUGCAGGCACUCCUCUAAGGGUUUUGUUUUUUUUUUUAAUGUAUGUUCAUUUAUUUGUUCUUCACAUCAACCUAUUUAUUAUCCCACUUUAGAUACAAGGAAAAUGAGGCACAGUCAGGUAACUCAUUAAGGCCAAUGGCUACUAAGUCACAGAGGUAGGAUUCCAACCCAGGCAGUCAGACACCCAGGUCCUUAACUCCAGUCACUGUGUUGUUACUGUCUCACUCAGUCAUUCCUACUUAUUCACAUACCCAAAUACUUUUCUGAAAUCUCUCCUUAGGUACCUCAUAGAAACCUCAAGCUUAAUAUGUUCAAUGGUGGAUUUCUGAUCUCUAACCCUAAACCAGUUCAUUGUUCCAUGUAUCUAUAAGUGAUACUAUUAUAUAUUUAACUGCUUGAGCCAGAAACCAAAAACUAAAUAAGCAAUUAUAGUUAAUAAUAGAAAAUGAGGAACAUGCUGAAAUUUGAUAUUUAUAAUCUAUAAUCAAGUAAAUAAAAUUUAAAGUAUCUUUCUUAAAGGUAAGUGGGUUAUAUGAAUACUUUUAUUCUCCAUAUGAACAAUAUUUUAUUUACUAUUUUUAGGUAUAGUAAACUUUAAGGUUUUACUCCUUAUCUGAGUAAUAAUUGCCAUCAUUGCUGCAAUUUAAAAAAAGGAUAUCUCUAAAGAUAUCUUGAUUUGGCAUCUAUCAAAAGGAUAUAAUACAGUUUUUUUUUUUUUAGUUGCUUCUAUUUGACAGAACCUUUUAAAGCAUGCCACUGUGUUAGCAACGGCCGAUAAAAAUAAACCUAAUCCAAGCAGUUAUGAUCAGAGAAUGUUCCCUGUGAGCAUUUGCUUUGGAGAUGUAUGCUGUUUCCAAGAGCAUAUAUAUCAUUGUUGUUUAAGAUUUCAUGUUCCUUACCAUAAAUUUUAAUUUUUGUAUGUUUUUCAAGUGAAACCCAUUGCCACAUUCAGUGUAAUUAACUAUGAAAGUAAUUGGUUAUCUUUUGUUUAGUAACUUGUGAUUUUAUUUUUGAUGCUGUAUUUUAAAAAUGGAGGUAGACACAGGUUUCAGUGCAAAAGGAUUGAAGAUUAUACUUAAUUUUGCAUUUUCUUCAAAAUAGGAAAUCUUCACAUUUUAGACAAGUGUGUAGAUUUAAUUAUACAUCGCGUUUAGUAAUUUCACCUAUAAACCAGAUGACAGAAGCUUUUACUACAUCUGUGACUAGAAAUCUGAAAUAUGUGUAUAUUUUUAAAAUUGUAAAUGGAUAUAAUAGUCAAAGUAAUUUCUUUUCUUGCUGAAUUAAUAUAGUGCAGAUAAGCUUUUAUCCAAGUCUUUAAAUUUCACUUGAUUUAUAAUCCCCUAAUACUCUGUGCUAGGAACUGAGGUGAACUUUAGGGAUAUGAGGGAAGACAAGACAAUUACUCUUGUCUAGGACUUACAGAAAAUUUCCAAGUACCCAGCUAAUUUUGGUGCAGUGUGGAAAAAACUCUGAUGGGUACAACUUUGUUCUGUGGAGUUUAGGUUUCAGGAAGUUUUACCUUAGUUAUGACUUAAUGAAGAAGCUUGUUCUGUUAUUAAAUACUAUUUAAAUUCUGUUUUCUUUUUUUUUUUUUAAUUUUAGAAACAGUGCGAGUGGAGGAGAAGGGCAGAAGGAGAGAGAGAGAGAGAGAGGGAGAGAGGUAGAGAGAGAGAGAGGGAGAGAGAGAAUGAAUCUUAAGCAUGCUGAGCAUGGAGCCUGAUGUGGGGCUUGAUCCCAUGAGCCUGGGAUCAUGACCUGAGCUGAAAUCAAGAGUCGGAUGCUCAACCACCUGAGCCACCAAGGUGCCCCUAAAUUCUUUUUCUUUAACGAUUAUUCAUAUUCUCAUAGAUUCAGUAGAUAUGAAGAAGUGAUUGCAAAGAAAAAGGAAUGGAUGUCAAAAAACUGACAAAUGAGGUUAACAAAAAAGGAAAAGACUGUCAGAUUAGACCCAACACUAACACAUUACAUCAGGGCUGGACUUCCUAUGCAUCAUUUGCGGGAGGGAUUGCUUGGUCAUGCAUUUGACUUUUCAGUCUUGCCGGCAUGAAUUAACAUUUUGGCAGAGUUUACACUGCAAUUUAAGCAUCAGAGGAAAAACAAUUCUGUCUCACUAUAGUAUUAUGUCUGUGUGUUACCCUUCUUUCAGGAAGAUAGCAACUUGUGAAAUAGGUGUUAUUCAAGUUUAUAGAUGUAGAAGCUGUACAGGUUCUGAGGCUAUUAAAGUCAGAGCUAAUGAGCAAUGCUGCUGGAAUUCGAGAUUUCAGAUUCCAAGUUCUUUUACUACAUCUGGCUAUAAAUGAGCUUGUUGAGGUUUUAUUUAAUUAAACAUAUAAAAUGGCAUUCCUUUUUCUUGCUGGCAGUCAGUUUAGCAGUGGAUUUCUUGCUCCUCCUGUAAACUUGUGAGUUACUGUGAAAUGUCCGUCUUAACCUCUUUUCUUGCAGCCUUGUGACUUUAAGCUACUGCUUCAUACUCCUUGAAGGCAAAGGCUAUCCAAAAUCCAUAGGCUGGGCAUUCAGUAAAGUUACUAGUUGAAUAAACGCACUCUCAGGGUUAGAUAGAUAUUUAAAAGACAAAGAUAAACCAAACUAUAGAGUGGUGGUUGAUAUCUAGAUAUUUUAAGCCUCUAAAUUAAUAAUAUUUUUUGUACAGUACGUCUUAAUUAUUAAGUUCCUUGGUAGCACUUUGAGUCUCUUGAUAAACAUGUCACUUAAUGAAGUAAGGGUUUUAUCUUACUUUGGCUAUCUGAUUUUAUUUUGUACUUUUGAAUGACUACAGUCUAAUCAGACUUUGUGG